Molecule: ribosomal RNA, 341 nt
Filed under: uncultured bacterium
Lineage: Bacteria
Description: bacterial SSU rRNA
Rfam family: Bacterial small subunit ribosomal RNA
Source: RNAcentral
GCCAGACUCCUACGGGAGGCAGCAGUGGGGAAUAUUGCGCAAUGGGGGAAACCCUGAUGCAGCGACGCCGCGUGAGUGAAGAAGUAAUUCGUUAUGUAAAGCUCUAUCAGCAGGGAAGAAAAUGACGGUACCUGAGUAAGAAGCCCCGGCUAACUACGUGCCAGCAGCCGCGGUAAUACGUAGGGGGCAAGCGUUAUCCGGAUUUACUGGGUGUAAAGGGAGCGUAGACGGCAGUGCAAGUCUGGAGGGAAAGGCGGGGGCUAAACCCCAGGAUUGCUCUGGAAACUGUAGGGCUGGAGUGCAGGAGAGGUAAGUGGAAUUCCUGGGGUAGCGGUGAAAUG